UGGGGAGUGGUGUAACGGGCAGCACGCGGGUUUUUGGUACCCGAAGAUCUGGUUCGAAUCCAGGCUCCCCAG
This 72-nucleotide transfer RNA is filed under the name Thermoleophilaceae bacterium. RNAcentral describes it as "tRNA-Gln". It matches the Rfam family "tRNA". Rfam says of the family: Transfer RNA (tRNA) molecules are approximately 80 nucleotides in length. Their secondary structure includes four short double-helical elements and three loops (D, anti-codon, and T loops). The record is from RNAcentral. Lineage: Bacteria; Bacillati; Actinomycetota; Thermoleophilia; Thermoleophilales; Thermoleophilaceae.